This 259-nucleotide long non-coding RNA is filed under the name Hordeum vulgare. RNAcentral's name for it is "long non-coding RNA (HVUL_LNC018762)". Lineage: Eukaryota; Viridiplantae; Streptophyta; Magnoliopsida; Poales; Poaceae. The record is from RNAcentral.
UUCUCUUUCUUUCUUCUUCUUCUUUCUCCUCUUCUCCUUCUUCUUCUUCUUCCUUCUCCUCCUCCUCCUCCUCUUCUUCUUCUUCUUCUUCUUCUCCUUCAUCUUCUUCUUCCUCCUUCUACUUAUUCUUCUUUUGUUCUUCCUAGCACUAAACCUAUCACUAAACUAAUCUUGCAUGAACCUAAUCUAACACUAAACCUAGCACUGAACUACAUACAUAAUCUAAUCUAACAAUUAAAAAGCAAAAAAGAAGAAAAAA